AUAUAGUUUAAAAAAAACCUUACAUUUUCAUUGUAAAAUUAAAUAAUAUUAUUUUAUAAAUUACUA
Molecule: transfer RNA, 66 nt
Filed under: Eudasyphora canadiana
Lineage: Eukaryota; Metazoa; Arthropoda; Insecta; Diptera; Muscidae
Description: tRNA-Glu
Source: RNAcentral